AUGAACACCAAUGUCUGCGUGGAGCCCGGGCCGAGCCCGGAGACCCCGGGCUUGCCCAAGGAAAGCCACCUGCCCGAGGGAGCCCUGAACAGCCUUGUGGAUUACAACUCGGAGAUGGAGCGCUACCGCUCCUUUGCCACCUCCUUCUACAAGACCAACGGGGGCGCCUUCCCGCAGGCGGCCAAGAUCGCGCGCAUCACCACCCCCAUCUUCCCCAGCAGCGCCGCCGCCGCCGCGGCCGCCGCGCGCAUCGGCAUGUCCCCCUGGAACUGCGACAACGCGGCCACCGCCGCCGCCGCCACCGCCAUGCUCUGGGGCAGUGGCGGGGGCGGCGGGGGCGGGGGCGCCGGCGCGGAGCCCAUCUCGGCGCCCUCGCAGCUCCUCCCGGCCGGAGCCGGCCCUGCCCGGCAGCGGCGGCGGCGGCGGCGGCAGGACCAGCAUGCACCACCGAAACGACUCCCAGAGGCUGGGGAAAGCUGGCUGCCCGCCAGAGCCGUCGUUGCAAAUGGCAAAUACUAAUUUCCUCUCCACCUUAUCCCCCGAACACUGCAGACCUUUGGCGGGGGAAUGCAUGAACAAGCUCAAAUGCGGCGCUGCUGAAGCAGAGAUAAUGAAUCUCCCCGAGCGCGUGGGGACUUUUUCCGCUAUCCCGGCUUUAGGGGGCAUCUCAUUACCUCCAGGGGUCAUCGUCAUGACAGCCCUUCACUCCCCCGCAGCAGCCUCAGCAGCCGUCACAGACAGUGCGUUUCAAAUUGCCAAUCUGGCAGACUGCCCGCAGAAUCAUUCCUCCUCCUCUUCGUCCUCCUCGGGGGGAGCUGGCGGAGCCAACCCGGCCAAGAAGAAGAGGAAAAGGUGUGGGGUCUGCGUGCCCUGCAAGAGGCUCAUCAACUGUGGCGUCUGCAGCAGUUGCAGGAACCGCAAAACGGGACACCAGAUCUGCAAAUUUAGAAAAUGUGAAGAGCUAAAGAAAAAACCUGGCACUUCGCUAGAGAGAACACCUGUUCCCAGCGCUGAAGCAUUCCGAUGGUUCUUUUAAAGCAGUAGUAUAUCUUAUUUUCAAGGCAUUUGGAAGUGAAAGGCAAACUAAAUGUCUUGUUUUAAGAAACUGCUUAGUCCACC
This is a non-coding RNA of Lipotes vexillifer (Yangtze River dolphin), 1119 nucleotides long. Lineage: Eukaryota; Metazoa; Chordata; Mammalia; Artiodactyla; Lipotidae. The record is from RefSeq and is a predicted model, not a curated record.